Nicotiana tabacum (common tobacco) is the source of this 4215-nucleotide non-coding RNA. Lineage: Eukaryota; Viridiplantae; Streptophyta; Magnoliopsida; Solanales; Solanaceae. The record is from RefSeq and is a predicted model, not a curated record.
UACUGUUUCUUAUUUCUCCGACUGUGGCUAUGGAGCAAAACCUAAAAUCAUCAACAGUAAAAUCAAAAUUCAAAGUUAAAUAUUGGAUGCCUCCUCCCCCCUGUACAAUGCUCCAGUCUCAGCAGGCUGUCCGGUAAACGGAAUAAUGCAUAUUCUAUUUACAGUCCAGUUCAGAAGCUUUCAGCAAUUGUAUAUGACACUCUCUCAAUUCACUUUCCUUUUCGCUUAGAUUCUCUUCGAAAUUAAUUCAACCGUUAAAAUUUUCUAUAUUUUGUUCCAUCAUCAAAUUCUAAAUUUGCUCUACCUUCUAGGCUGCUCCAAUUUAGCUUUUCUAUAAAAAUGCUUGUUUUUCAGAAGAAUGGCCAGCAGAGGUCAUAGCCGGAGAAUUUUCCGGUGGAUUCUCUGACCAAGUAAGCAGAUCUGCUGUGUGUGACUUUUCUUCCGAGAAAAACUUGCAAUAAUUCCACAUUACGUGGCCCACGAAGAUGAUACAAGUAUUGACAGGCAUGUCCAUUAGUUCGUCAAUGCAAAAGACUUUUGAAUAGUUCUGGAGAAGAAUCUCUCUAUAUUUCCACAAAUUUUAAGCUUGGCCAAUUGGAAUGCUUUCCUUUUUCCUUGUUCUUUACUUCUAUGGAUAGUGAGACAUUGACUCAUUGACUUGAAGUCGUUCUACCCGUAUUUCACAAGCUGAGAAAAUAAACUCGCAAGACUUGUAAUGAUUCACUACACUAUAAAACUCUACCCCUCCAAAAGUUCAUCAAUAACCAAAACAAUCAACUGAAAUUUAUCCUUUAGCAAUAAUGAAGAUUCACAGAAUAUUUGCUUUCCUUCAGUUUUUUACUCUCUUAUAUCUCUUCACAGUUUCUUUUGCUUCUACUGAGGAGGCAACUGCUCUCCUCAAAUGGAAAGCGACUUUCCAAAACCAGAAUAAUACUUUAUUGGCUUCAUGGAAACUAAGUCAUGUUGGUUCCAAGAAUUCUUCCAGCGUCGGAGCGACAGGUUCUGAUGCAUGCAGGGGCUGGUAUGGAGUUACAUGCUUAAAUGGAAGGGUCAACAGGUUGAAUAUUACAAAUGCUAGUGUUGUUGGCACACUCUAUGAUUUUCCAUUUUCAUUUCUUCCUUUACUUGAAUAUGUUGAUCUUAGCAUGAACCAGCUCUCUGGCACAAUCCCCCCUGAAAUAGGUAAACUCACUAAUCUAGUUUAUCUUGACUUGUCCAUCAACCACAUUUCGGGCACAAUCCCACUACAAAUCGGGUCACUAACAAAGCUUGAGACCCUUCAUAUCUUUGACAACCAAUUAAAUGGUUCCAUUCCGGAAGUAAUAGGUCACCUAAGGUCUCUUUCGGAACUAGCUUUGAAUACCAACUUUCUUAAUGGUUCAAUUCCUGCUUCAUUGGGGAAUUUGAACAACCUGUCUUCUUUGUAUCUUUAUGAGAAUAAGCUUUCUGGCUCCAUUCCAGCAGCAAUAGGGAAACUCGUUAAUCUUGUUGUGGCUUAUCUCGAUACAAACCAGUUAACAGGUCAUAUUCCUCCAGAAAUAGGUAACUUGAUCAAAGCAAAAGUGUUCUAUGCUUUCUCUAAUGAAUUAUCUGGUCCCAUUCCUGUUGAAAUUGGAAAGAUGAAGUCACUUCAGAGUUUAAGCUUCCACAAAAACAAUCUUUCUGGUCCAAUUCCCCAAACAAUAGGUGACUUAACUGAGCUCCAACUCUUGCACCUUUACAAUAACCAACUUUCUGGUUCCAUUCCUAGUAAGUUGGGGAAUUUGAAAAACCUUACUGAUCUGCAAUUAUCUGGUAAUCAACUUACUGGGUCAAUUCCAGCUUCCUUGGGCAAUUUGAGAAACUUGCAAACUCUGUUUCUCCGGGACAAUAAACUUUCGGGUUCCAUUCCACCAGAACUUGCCUAUUUGGAUAACUUGGUUGUGCUGGAAAUGGAUGAAAACCAAUUUUCAGGCCAUUUGCCUGAGAAUCUUUGCCAAGGUGGAAAACUUGAGAACUUCACGGUGAAUAGUAACAAGCUGUCGGGGCCAAUUCCAAGAAGCUUGAGCAAGUGCUCGAGUUUCAAAAGGGUCCGCUUUGAUAACAACAGUUUCACUGGGAAUUUAUCGGAAGCUUUUGGUAUCUAUCCAGAGCUUCAGUUCAUUAUUUUGAGCGACAACGAUUUUUAUGGUGAACUCAGCAACAACUGGGGAAAAUGCAAGAAUUUGACAAAUUUUCAGAUAGCCAGAAAUAACAUUAGUGGUAGCAUACCACCAGAGAUUGGAAAUGUCAAAGGGCUUUCAGGACUUGAUCUUUCAUCUAAUCAUUUGGUUGGGCAGAUUCCCAAGGAAUUUGGAAGAUUGACCUCUCUAAUUAAUCUCUUUGUGCAAAACAACCACAUUUCUGGCAGUCUACCUGGGGAACUUGGGUCACUAACAAAGUUAGAAACCCUUGAUUUGUCAGACAAUGUAUUUAAUGGGUCAAUCCCGAUGUUUAUAGGAGAUUACAUGAAGCUGAUUCACUUGAACCUGAGCAACAACAGAUUUGGCCAGAAAAUUCCGAUGGAGAUAGGAAGGAUAACUCACCUUAAUGUACUUGAUUUGAGCCAUAAUCUUCUUGAUGGAGAAAUACCCCCUCAAUUGGCCCAUUUGGUGAACUUGGCUAUCAUAAAUCUUUCCCACAAUGACCUCUCUGGCCGCAUUCCUAAAGAAUUUAAAAGUUUGACAGGUUAUGUCAUAUUGUCAUACAAUGAGUUGGAAGGUCCAAUACCGAAUAAUGAAGCUUUUAUGAAUGCCUCGUUAGAAGGCAAUAAAGGUCUUUGUGGUAAUGUAACAGGAUUCCAGCCUUGCGAAAGUCCAUUUUCUGUGGUGGAGAAGCACUCAAGACGUAAACUCAUCCUCGUCACUGUACUUCCUGUUAUGGGAGCACUAGUACUUCUCUGUACUUUCAUUGGUGUUCUGCUAAUGUGUGAUGAAAGAAGAAGAGUUGGAGACAUUGAAAGACGGGAUUCCAGUGAUGUUGUUGAUGUUGAUGAAGAUAAUGGUUUGCUCUCGAUAUCCACGUUACAUGGAAGUGCACUGUACUGGGAUAUCUUAAAAGCCACAAAAGAGUUUGAUGCAGUGUUUUGCAUCGGGAAAGGAGGGUCCGGAAGCGUUUACAAGGCAAAGCUUCCAUCAUUUGAGAAUGUAGCUGUAAAGAGACUUCAUUCUUCAUUUGAGAAUACACAUCUCAAAAGCUUCAUGAAUGAGGUAAGGGCAUUGACAAGGAUUAAACAUCGGAACAUUGUGAAACUCUAUGGCUUUUGUUCUAAUGCAAAACACUCGUUCUUAGUUUACGAGUACGUGGAGAGAGGGAGUUUGUUUAGUAUCUUGAGCAAUCAAGUAGAGUCCAAGAAAUUGGAUUGGCUUAAGAGGGUGGAUAUCAUCAAAGGUGUUGCUUUUGCUUUAUCUUACAUGCAUCAGGAUUGCUCGCCACCAAUUGUUCAUCGAGACAUAUCAAGCAAUAAUAUUUUGCUUGAUUCUGAGUAUAAAGCUUGUGUUUCAGACUUCGGAAUAGCUAAGCUUCUCAAUCCAGAAUCAUCCAAUUGUACUGCACUUGCAGGCACAUAUGGCUACGUUGCACCAGAGCUUGCCUACACAAUGAAGGUUACAGAAAUGUGUGAUGUCUAUAGCUUUGGAGUAUUAGCAUUGGAGAUAAUCAAGGGAAAGCAUCUUGGGGAAUUCAUUUCUCUGCUAGCAAAUUCAUCGACUAGAGAUCAUGUGCAGCUUAGCGAUUUGCUUGAUGAACGUCUUCCAAAUCCUGAAGAUGAAGUAAAAGAGGUUUUGGUUUUUAUCAUCAAGCUAGCGAGCUCUUGUUUACUGGAAACUCCAAAAUCAAGGCCAACAAUGCACUUCAUCUCCCAUAUGUUGUCAAUGGAUCCACCUGGUUAUCAGAUAACCUCCAUGAAGGCGAAAAGCUUCCUCGAGAUAUAAGGUGUUUGUGUAUGGAAAAGAGCAAGUUUUGAUGCCAAGUUGUUGUUAAGCAAGAACAAGAAAUUAGUGAGACGUUCCUAGUAUUUGUGUAUUGUUAGUGUGCUUAUCUAGUUUAGAGUUUCAACUUGAAGGAUUCUGAGCCCUUGCACCAGAGUUUAUACAAUAUCAUGUAGAAGGACAAUAAAGAACCUCCCAGCUUGAUCACAUACCCUGUCACAGACCUCCUGGUGUUGGGGCAAGAUGCCCAAUCUGAGUCACAGAAACC